CAGACCACAUGUUCCCGGUCGUGCAGGCAUGUCCCGGUGGCACUGGGUGGUCCUCGUGAUGGGAGCGUUCCCGACGGAAGAAAACCUAGUAUCCAUGAGGGUACGGCAGGAGAGCGGCUUGGCCUGUGCCUUCGUGUGUGCGCAGUGCACAGCCGCUGCCCCGGCGGAGUCUCCCGGCGCAUCCCUCCCGUCGAGUCCUUCCCACCCCCACUCUGAAACAGCCAGGUUGGAAACAGGUCCUGCGGGGGCUCUGUCACGCUCCCGUCCCGGCUCCGUUCGCGGCCAUCUGCCACGGCCUAAUUCUACUCUGCCGUCUAUCAAACGGCAGCCACAGCCAGCCAGGGCAGGGGAUGCUCUUAAACACUAAAUAAGGCAAAACAACUAAGAAACAGCAAUAACUACAAGAACUAUAAUGAUAACAACACCAUCUGCCUGAAGGUCGUAGAGCUUUGUCCUCUUUCCUAUUGCGAUCAGGAGACAGCGCUGACUGCAGCGAGUUUUUUACCAAAAACUGGAUUGCAAAUUGGACUGAUCACCCUUCUCUGCAAAGGGAUAGAAGAGGAGAAAUCCUGCUUUUCCCCCAGCCUCUUCAUUUCCUUGUAAUCAUCCUUGCGCUGUCCAGUAGACAGAUGAAGUACAUGGGCUACUCCAUCCUUUUUCUUCAGCUCAGCAAGCUGGGGACGAGUCUUUCUCAACACACUGCCUGCUCCUGCCACACCACGUAGUUUCUCUCAUUUCUUGUUUUUGAGAUGCCUGUUCACAUAUAUACAUCUAUCUGCACGCACAUAUGCACAUUUGCACAUUUUCUAUGUACAUUCAGAUUGCCCUAAUUUCUAUUUAUCAUUUCUUCUUGUUUAUGUGUCUUUUGUAAGACCCAGCACUUCGCAGGAUCUCAGGAGAGCCAUGCAGAAAACAGAGAAAAGUCCAUCUUCACCUGCUCAUGUGUGGGCCAGGAUGAUGCACAGCUGAGAUUAACCCUCAUGCAGGUAGAGAGCAGGGAGGUCUUUUAAAUGUGUUGUGUCCUGAGCAAGCUGAAGGACUCAGCUAAACUCUGCAGGAUUACAAAUGUGAACUGACUGCCCCUGCACCAAGGCAUUAUCUCCACCAUACCUCACUUCUUCUGGUUUUCUCGGAAAUCAAUGCUAAAGAUUUGGUAUAAACAUUCCGUACUUCCAUAGCAAAAGAAACAUAAAUAUUUAAGUGAACCUGCUACUGCCAAUCUCUCAAUGUAGUUUUAAAAAUAUUUCUUAAUGCUUGGAAAGAAAUGGAACUGUGGAAUAGAUGGAGGUUUCCUGGAAAGCUUCCAGAAACAGGGAACCUUCCUACUUCUAAUCUACAGUAUCAAUAAUAACGGUGGUUAUGAUGAUGAUGGAGCACCAAAAAAGUGGAUGUAAGGAAGGUCUGAAGAGCCAGGUGAUGAACUGUGCCAUCCAGAGCCAUGUGUUUCCCCUCCCGAUGUCACGUUGCUGCCGUAGGCGCGUUGAGGUCUCGGUGGUGGCAUCUGAAAGUAACCUGCAUUUAAUAUUUACCACUUGCCUUCUUACUCCAAAAAUAGAACAAAACCCCUGCUCUCAGCAAUUUUUCUUGGGAGUAGUCUGAUUUCCAAGGCUGCUCACGGGCAGGGAGCACUGCCUACCAACCUCUCCUUGAGUUAGAAGACACUCACGGCUUCCCACCGCCCCCCUACCCCCGGCUUUUUUUUUUUAAUUGUUUUUCGGUUUUUCCUCCUUAAGCAACUCCUGCCCGGAACCAGGGGGGCAGAGCCUGGCCCCAGGACGGCCCCGGGCGCAGCGCCGGUGGGGCCGGCCGGGAUGCGGGAUGCGGGAUGCGGGACGAUGGGUCUCCUCCGCCGGUGCGGCCGCGACCCCUGGCGGCCGCGCCGGAGCAGCGCCCAGCGCAGCGCAAGUUCCGCGCAAGCCCCGCUCAAACCCAGCGCGGCAGGACGCGGGAAGCGUCAAGUGCGAACAGUUUAGAGGCAAUUGUUCCGGAUCAAAAAUAGCUUGAAAAAAAAAUGUCAUUCUAAAAUGUUUUGCAAGGUAGGGAGUGAGAAGCGAACUUUUCGUGCCUCCCCAGUGGGAAACAAGGCUAUCUGUCUCGUGUAAAUUCAGGUCUGUACAGUAUCUGUGACACGAAAAUAUGAAGGGAAAUGAGCUACUACCUGCUUACUGCAGCUGUUGAGGCAGUCUGGGGCAGCAGUUUCACUCAGGGACAAAUGGUCCUACUAUAGCAAGAGGCAGACUUGAGGUAUUGUCCAGUUUACAGACAUAGACCAGUCAUUUUUUGAAAGUUAAAAUCUAGCGUUUGAAUCAGGAUAAUUAAAUGCCAACAUUUCAUUUUGUUUCACUUGUCAUGUACUCAGAGUGGUGGCUAAGAAAGGUGUAGAGCACAGGUAAGUCAGGCAAUAAGCAAAACAAACCCUCAGUCAGAACAAGCACUGUCCCACUGUCUCCACCCUGCAGAGAUGUUCCAGCAGCAGGAUCUUCCAACUGAGAGAAGCAGAGGAGAAGCAACGUGUCUGGUGCUUCAAGGCCUACUGCACAGCAAUGACUGCCACAGGCAGGAAAGUGGAUGAGCCAGCCAGCAAGAUAAUAUAUGGUCAGCCUACUAAUAUUUGUGGAUAAAAUGAAAAGAGCAGCUGUGACAGGAAAACUAAAGACAAAGAACACAUCAGAGAAAAGUCACCUAAGGAUGCAAAAUCUUAAGGAAAUCCUAAAUACAGGAAAAGAAGAAGUUAGAAAUGAAAACACCUGUUUUUACCAUCUUAAACUACAAAAAAACCACUGUCACCUUUGCAGACACAACACAUGAGCCUGUAGGAUGUGGAUGUGAAGGAAUAAAGACUACCUAAUCUCACCUGCAUGGAAACUGUGAAAAUACCUGGAAAAUCUGGAGGAUACUGAGCCGAGCAUUUAUUAGGAAGAUUGCCACUGAUUCUGAGUAGAAACAAAGAAAGAGUUCCAUUCAAACUUAAGUGAAGAGAAAUAAUUCGGCAACUUCAGAAGUUUACAUAGCAAUACAGAGAAGCACAGAAAGGAGUCAAAUAGUUCAAAGUACAAUAUAAGUUUGAAAAGUACUUUUUUUUUUAAAUUUAUAAUGCAUUUUCUUCAGUUGCCUGUGCUCAUCCUUUUGUGUUCAGCUUAAGACAUUUGUGCAAACAAGCUUCUUUAACAUUUUGUGAACAAACACAGAAAUUGCUAGAUUUUUAUGUCUCCACAUGCACAUGGUUUCGUUCAAUUUAUUCAAGCACUCACCCUCUCAGAAAGUAAGAACAAUUUUGUCCAGCAAGCAAGAACUACAGACAGGUCCCGAGUGAUUAACGGAUGCCUUUGAAGAACCUUUUUCUGGUGAAAACUUGUCAGCAGAAGAUGUGUUUGUCGGACUCCUGACUGCAGCAUAUUUCUUCCUUGAGCCACACGAAGUAGGAUGAAGGGCAGAGGAGAUAGCGAUUUGGGAUAAACCUGGAGCACUGGGACUACAGUUCCAGCCCAAAGCCUAACUUGAAGGAGGGGAUAUGACAGUCUGAAAAGGAACAGGAGGACAAAUCCUUUCUUCUUCUAAUGUAUGCCCAGAUUUGGAACUUAGAAAGACCAAUAAAGGCAAGCAGUAGCUAAGUACAGGCAGGAAAAGGCAAUAACAACUCAUUUGAAGCAAUUACAAAUAUCAGAGCUAAAUCAGAAAAGCCCUACCAGUGAAAGACGGCUGAUCUUUUGAAAUGCUCCUGAAAAAUCCCUGCAAAAUAGGCACUAGAAAGUUGGCUUUGAAUCUGCUAGACUUACAGAGAAACACCAAAUUAUUGCAUCACAUAUAGACUCCUUACCUAAUGCAAUACAAGUCAAUGUAACACACACAAGUAUUCCAUAUUUCCUCAUCCAAAACUCUACAUUUCCCUGUCAUGUUUCAGGGUUUGCAUCCUGUAGCACAUGAUUCCUACAUUUUCCUUAAUUUUAGAAACCUAGCAACCUAGUCAUACUAGCAACCUCUCUUCUGUCUGAGAAGGAUAAGGCGUUGUUUUAACCAUCGACACUGCUCAGCGCUAGGAAUAAAGCUGGAUGAAAUGAACAUUCUACCCCUAGGGGAUAUGGAUUGGAGCUGGAAUGCCCAAGUUGCAUACAGAGUUGCCAUGUCCUUCUGUCCUUCCUGAGAGCUGAUGCAUGUAGAAACUGAUUAUAUUGGUAGAAAGGGAUUAGCAGACACCACACUAACAGAUCAUGCUUUCUGAAGGUUCUAGAGGAAAAACUAAGGAGAGAUAGAGAGGUUCUGGAGACCAAAUUUAGUGGAAUUGAAUUCCCUGCUUUUUCAGUUUGCCUAACAGUGAGAAAAAGUAUAGUGAAAUAGGUAUCUUAACAGGGUCAAAAAUUGUCUGAGCUCUCCCAAACAAGCAGCUUCAGAAAAACAAAAUCGUGGAAAAUGCACAGUAAGAACUUGAGAAUUUAUCAAGAUGAAUACAGAAAACUGAUCUGACACUCUGUACUUAAAAAUCUUCUAUAUUCUGGCUUCUGAUUACAAAUUAUUUAAAAAGUGUUUGGAAAACAUCAUCACUUGUGGCAAAAAAAUCUGUAUCUCUAAGGAGAUCACAGAUUUGUAGACAGUAUCCUAAUUUAUUAUCUCAGCAUACCACCUCAGGGGUACCCAGCUGCUGGCAAAAGUGAUUUUAAGAUUUUAUUCACCCAGUUUUCUUUCAUUUUUUUUUCCUCCAAAUAUGAUUCAAUAGGUUUGACUACCCUUCCUCCAGGCAGCUCCCAGGAGAGCUAGUGAAGACAGCAUGGUACGGCAGGGUCUGCAGAACCACACCAGUAGCCUCAGACACUCUCAGCAAUUCAGCCAGACAACUAGUAUCUAAAUUCAAUAAUAUUCACAAUCUUCCACCUGAUGACUGGUUUUCACCAUGGAGAACUCCAGGGAUGGUCACUUGCUGGUAAGCCCACCUUUUAGUGCUAGUACUCAGUCUAGGCUUCAGCGACUACCUAUUCAAAGCUCUCGAGACGCGCCUACCCUGGCAGGAGCAGAGAAGCACUGUACACAUCAUCCAGCCCUUUGGCAGGUUGUGUCCCCAGUGCUGGGGUUUGGGAAGCAUCAGUACAGCUUAUUUAGGUUCCAGCUGAAGUUUCUCAAUUCCCAGUGUAAGAAAGCUGUGACCACCCCAGUACUGGUUAUUAGAGAAGCUCUCUCAUUCAAAGUCAUUAAGUAUUCUUGCAGGUCAAGCACUGGCAAGGUAGACGAGCAACGUUACAAACAUUACAUUUUCAGGAUCUAAUUCAUGUGAUUCUCUCUACUGCUAUCUAUUACUUAUAUGAUACAACUGUUUUUAUAGCAAAGUAGGGCCAGUAGGGACUACUUAAUUGGGAUAGUCUAACAUACAGACAAUUGUUCAAACCACAAAUUAUCUAAAUUUUGUAUAGGUAGAGAUGGAUCUUAAGAGCUCUAUAGGCAUCAGAGCUGUUAAAAAACUUCUAAGGGGGGCUUUGGGAACUAGAUGGGCAUAGUCAGAAAAUCCAGAAAUUCACAACGAAGAACUCUCCCAGUUCACUUUAACAUUGCGAUAAACUGCUCAGCCUGUGAUUUUUUCCCUUUUUGUUACUAGUGGGGCUGAAAGUGUUUCAGAAGGGAGAUACUUGGAAAACUUGGUCAAGCAUGUUGUUGGGAAGUACUAUUGUAUAGUCAAAUUUUCCUGCCAGGGCCCUCCUGCUUGAUGCUACAACACUAUGUUUGCAAGCUACAUGCUUAUUUAUUUCCGUGUGUUACAUUUGGACAUCAUGUGCAUAUAGUGUGUGUAUAUAUAUAUAUAUAUACACAUAUGUGCAUAUAUAUAUAUACACAUACUUUUAUGACACAUCUACUGAAACGAAGGGAUCUCGGGAAGAGAGAAACUUUAAAAUAUCACAUUUACAGAAGAAGAAAAGAUAAAAACUUCCAAAAAACUUAAUUCUAUAUGCUUUUUAAUUGUUCCUUUCACCAAGGUAAAAGUGCUUUCACUAUACUCAACCUAUUAAAGUCUGAAGACAUCCUUGGUGUUUACUUCUAGUUCUAAUCCAGCUCCUUUGUUACUGAACCAGUUCAGAAAAGCAUUUAAACAUACACUUAAGUACAUUCUUAAUGUUAAAUGACUUCCUGAAUCGGUCUAAUAAUUUAAAGUAAUAUUAAUAAACAUUAUUUAAUAAACAAUUCCAUUUAAUAUCUGUUAACAAUGCAGUGCUGCUCUCAUAUUCUUUCACGUUUCCCUACUUUUACUACUAAUAGUAGUACCAGUAAUCAGAUGCAGAAAGUUGCUUCAUGCUUUUGAUAGUCAAGGCUUAAUGGCUUUGAAGAGGCUCAUUUUCAGAAGCAGACCACUUCAGAAAAUCAGGUUCUUGACCCUACAUCAGUAAUUUUUUGGGCAAACUUGACUUGCUCCUCUAGGUAAACUCUUAUAUCCAUAGCAACACACAAAGGCUUCCAGUUGGACUCUGUGGUUUUGUAACUAUUGCCUUGUGAAUAGUUGUUGGAAAUGAUCACAGCUGGUAUGUGCAUAUGAUCAUGCACACAUCUCUGUGUGUGUGUGUGUGUGUGUGUGUGUGUGUGAGGUACAAAGUGAUGUUUGCAAAUACAAAGUGUCCUGUCUUCUUCUCUUUCCUCAAAUCUCAGUCAGACAAGUUUCCACGAGUAAAUAGAUUUUCCUAAAACACUCUCCACCAAAUAUCUUUCUUUUCCGCAAAAAGCACGUGUGUUAAAUUCACUAAUGGGACAAAUUCUGUGGCCAAGUGCUUCAGCAGUGGUACAGCAGAACAACUGUGGAGACAGUGCAGGAGGGAGAAGGACGAUACACCAGCAUUGCACUCUGAUGCCAACCCAAUGAUCCCGGGUGUGCUCCAACACAGGGUUGGGUAUUACUGUUCCUGACAGUAUGAGGAUGAGAGCAUUUCCACUUUCUCCAUCAAUUACCCCAGCCACGCACCCCCUCUCUCCCACUACUCUCUCAGCUCUGGAGCUGCAAUGGGAAUCUCCUGUUUCAAGGCCUACUCAUAACCUUCAGGGCGCCAGUGAAAUCCAGAAAUUUUUCUCCUAUAUUUCAGCAAAUGCUACCACAAGUUGUACUUGCACAAGGACAAAAACACAAGGAAGAAAUAAGCAACAGGAAACUGUGUAAGGGGAUGGGAAAAAAACAACACUGUUACUGUUUUUGGCACAUAAUGCCUUUUAAUACAAAGCUUGAUAACUGGUCACACUUUACAAUGGCCCAGGAACUACCCAGAAGCUCCUAAGUGGCAUAAUUUAACAAAUGCCCUGAAGAAUAGGCUUAGUUCAGAAGUGCUCUGAAGAAAAAAAAAUUGAAAUGCAUUUGAUAUGUAAAUCUAACCAGCAAGCAGAGCUGCUUACAGAGCCAUACAAAAGGGAUUUAUCCUCUUUUAGAUUCCUGGCUUUAUAAUGGCAGUGGUGAUCUUAGGGACAUCCCUAGUCAACUUCAGAACUCCAUAUUUGGUAUAAAUAUGCUAGCUUAAUAAAGUGAGGCUGACGAAAAGAAAUUGAAAAAAAAAAAGUGCUAAGAUUUCCAAAUUCAUCCUUUUUUCAUAUCAGAGAAAAAAAUUACACUUCUCAUAUGUUACUGGGGAUGGUGUGUGAAGUGGGAUGAAGCCACCAUACAGACAUACACACACCCAAGAGAGCAUCUUCCUCCUGCAGUCUUGCUGCUACAAUUUUCUCAAACCCAAAACAGCCUCUCUCCUCUCAGAAGUGGAAAAGAAACAUACCAUUCCAAACCAUGGUUAGUCUGAUGUUGUAGCUACUCAUGUAGCCUCUCCUGUGACAAGGACAACAUUUGGCAAGUCCUUGUCUCUCGAGAAGCUGCGUUUAGUUUGUGGCACUGCCACAAAAGUAGACUGUAAACACAGAACUUCUACUUAACACACCAAUAAAAAUCCCAACCUAAAAAUGUUCCAGAUGACGUUGAUCCAAUAUUCCUCCUACACACACAAAGCCUAAGAUUGCCAUAAGGACUGCUCUUCAUUAAAUUUUCAUUAAAUGGACUGUUACAAUAAAUAAGCAAAUUACUUCUUAGAACCACAGCACACGGUUCCAGUCAGAAUAAUGCAGAAGGUAUGACUUGUAUCAGGCAGAUUUUCAAUCCUAUUACCAAAACUAUCAAUCAUGUCUUGUCUAACAAGAAUCCUUCAACAUUAUCAUUUCAGUGUUAUUUAUACAAUUUAUAAUUUAAUACACAUUAUAAUUUAAUGUUACAAGGAAUGCAGAUUGGCUUUAAGUUGUCUUCUUUAUGCAGAAGAAAUUUUGUGUUGAUGUACCUGUAUGCAUCUCUACUGACUUCAGUCAAAUUUGCAGGAAGAUGUAAACAAGAUAAAUGUUGUCUGGAGUAACAUGAGCUAACCAAAGCCUCACUUGUAGACUAAGGGUCUAUUUCCCAGCUUCUUUUGGUCUCAAAAAGACAGAAAAAACAAUAUUCCUCUCAUAUUUUCAUGGAAGAAGCCUCUGAGCUGGAGUUAAAAUUCUCAGUCAAAACCAAAGAAAGUACUUGCCUCAGAGAUGUUCUUCAGCUUUACUGGCAAACUCAAUCAGGAAACCUCCUCAGAUGAAGGUCUCAGAGGCAAAGCAUUAGUUAUCCCUCUAGCCUAAAAUAUCUAGUUAAUCUCAUACAAAACCACUAAAAUCUGUCUAUCAGAUAUGUUGAGAACACACAGGUUUAUAGGCACUACAGAUUUACAGUGCUUAUGCACAGGGCCUACUCGCAUUCUCUGGAGAACAGUUUUUUGAGGAGAAAAAGUAAGACAGUCUCCUGCUGUGGAGCUGAGAUAAGUUUCAUGUAUAAGCCAACAAAAUUAGAGCAGCAUUUGCAUUACCUUAAUUUUCCCAGUAUUGACCCCUUGCCUUUGAGCAUGGGAAUGCAUGGCUAGGUUUUUGUUGUGAUUGGCUUGUAUAGACUGUGAUAUCUUGUAGAUCAUCAGCUCUCUAGCUGGCUACUGAUGGGAAAAACUGUUUUCUUGUCAAUCCCCUGUGAGUCCUGCAGUUUAUCAUAGCAUGUGUCAAUAGGAUAACUCUGUCAAAUGUUUCCAGUGAAAAAGUGGAAAAAUACCUGUAAAACAGCUUGAGCACACACUUCAACUCUUUUAGUUGUGGAAGGUCCUUCAAAGCCAAGGUCUCUCCCUGCUAGGCACUGCAUGUGUGGGUUACUCUUAAGGGCCUCUUGACUGCUGUCUUUAGAUGAAAAAAUAUAUAAAAUUUAAAAUUUGUGAGGAGUUGAAAGAAAUUAUGGUAAGUAGCAAUUACAACCCAGUUCAUUUAUAGUCCUUGUAAGGUUACUUUGAGAUGUCACAGAAGAUACAUGCCCUCUUGCUUGUACAUCUGAGGAACAGAUCUAGAUCAGUGGGAUUUCAGUGCAGGAGAGUGACCAAAGUAGAUAAUGUGGUCUUGCAUUGCUCACCGACUUCUCAUCCCUUUUUGAUUAAACCAAUUCAUUUCCAGUCCUCUCCUUUCACUUCACCUGGCUUCCACCUGUUGAGUUCUGAUUGAUUUAAAGAUGUACUUGAGCAUCUAAUGCAUUCAUGGGGUGUAAUAUUCUCAGGGUAAAAUAAUUCCUAUUUUUAAGACUAUGGGAGAAGCAAAAGCCCCCUUUAAAACAAACAAACACAAACAUAAAAAGAAAAUAAACCCCAAGAUGUAAUCCACCACACUCAGUUUCUGUAAGAGCUGAGAUCACAGUCUCAGCUGAAAGAAAGCAUUGGCAGGCAGGCAGGUAGGAACUAAACUUGUACCUCCUUUCCUUACACUACAAAGUGAUUACCCCAUUUAAUUUAACUUGACAAAUCCCGUAAUUGUUAACCUUAAUGGGUCUUUAUAUGGCCUAUCCUUUCUCAGAGAUAAAAAUAAGGGUAAUAGAGAUGGACAUGGCAACAGAUUGGAGAGCCAGGAAGGUUUUCGCAUGCCAGUACCCUAGGAUGAACCAUCACAAUGCAGCACUACGGACAUGAGCUUAGACAUUUUCUAGGGAACCUAGAGCUGAGGGAGACAUUUUGUCUUAAGGGUAAAACAAAACCAACUAUGUAUGGCAGUCUUUGUAAAAUUAAAACAAAUUAAAAAUGUUCAGUGUCACGGUUUCCUGGGGUGAUUAUGAAACUACAGUUUUCCUGAGAGGUAAAAGGAACAUCCUCCACUCAGUUCUGUAGUUUAUCAUUUGCAUGAAAAGACAGAGAUAUUAGUCUUACCUAGACUUGGUGCCCCAAAAGGAGCAAUUCAUUCUCCCACCUACCUCUUGGGGAAGAACCUUUUCCCAGAGGUUCCUGUCUCUCUCUACCUGCUCUAGAGGAGCUCCAGCUCAGGCUGAGUGGUUUCUAGGCAGCUCAGGCCUGGCAAGGUGGAUCCCAGUUUCCCUAACCCCCAACCCUAGGGUCACAUCUAGGUGUAAAGACUUCAAGAUUCAGGGCCAUUACACUGGGCACAAAUAUAGGAAGAUGCACUUUAGAUUCCAGGGACAGAAGCUUAGUAUAUCUUCUAGUGCAAUUUCUAAGCUGACAGUGCUGUCUUUGCUGCUUUAACAGCUUUUAUGGAGAUGUGGUCUCUGCAGCUACUGAUAGGACAAGAACAAUUUUCUUGGUAUUGCAUUCACAGCACUUCCUUUAGAGGAAUUAUGUCUUUUCCUGGUUUAAACAAAUAAAAUAGCAUUUGGGCUACAUGUUUCAGAUGAUUAAAACACAUUCAUUUGUGAUACUGCUUAUUCCCUGCAAGAGGGAGUGAAUUUUUCGGAUUAUGCACAUAGCUAAAAACCCAUAAAUUUUGUUAUUCAUAUCCAUAAGCAAUAUGGCAAGCUCGCAAAAGCUAUUACUUUUCAGUUACACAAGUGUGUUAAAUUACUCAGUCAACUGACAUCUGGCAUGAACUAUAAAUUGCUCUCAAAAUUCUUUUAGAAAGAUUAUUAUAUUAUUAUUAAUUUGCUGUGUAUGUCAAAGCAUAUCACACACACAGCAAUCCUGAAAUUAAUUAGCAUUUUCAAGGAUCACGCUGAAAAGGCCCAGAAAGCCAGCGGAAAUAAUCUCCAAGAUACUAGCAGGUUAAGCAGUGCUGGCACAACUUGUCUUCAACGUAUUUCCUUCAAUUCAUCUUUAAGAAUAAAACACAAGAAACCUUUUUUAAACAAGCCCUUUGUCACACAUAUCC
Molecule: long non-coding RNA, 11136 nt
Organism: Myiozetetes cayanensis
Lineage: Eukaryota; Metazoa; Chordata; Aves; Passeriformes; Tyrannidae
Exons: 3
Source: RefSeq, a predicted model, not a curated record